GAGCUUGCUCUUACGGGUGGCGAGUGGCGGACGGGUGAGGAAUGCAUCGGAAUCUACUCUGUCGUGGGGGAUAACGUAGGGAAACUUACGCUAAUACCGCAUACGACCUACGGGUGAAAGCAGGGGAUCUUCGGACCUUGCGCGAUUGAAUGAGCCGAUGCCCGAUUAGCUAGUUGGCGGGGUAAGAGCCCACCAAGGCGACGAUCGGUAGCUGGUCUGAGAGGAUGAUCAGCCACACUGGAACUGAGACACGGUCCAGACUCCUACGGGAGGCAGCAGUGGGGAAUAUUGGACAAUGGGCGCAAGCCUGAUCCAGCCAUACCGCGUGGGUGAAGAAGGCCUUCGGGUUGUAAAGCCCUUUUGUUGGGAAAGAAAAGCAUUCGGUUAAUACCCGAUUGUUCUGACGGUACCCAAAGAAUAAGCACCGGCUAACUUCGUGCCAGCAGCCGCGGUAAUACGAAGGGUGCAAGCGUUACUCGGAAUUACUGGGCGUAAAGCGUGCGUAGGUGGUUGUUUAAGUCUGUCGUGAAAGCCCUGGGCUCACCCUGGGAAUUGCGAUGGAAACUGGGCGACUAGAGUGUGGCAAAGGUAGUGGAAUUCCUGGUGUUACAGUGAAUGGCUUGGGAUUCA
RNAcentral lists this ribosomal RNA (630 nucleotides) under Stenotrophomonas maltophilia. RNAcentral describes it as "bacterial SSU rRNA". It matches the Rfam family "Bacterial small subunit ribosomal RNA", at positions 76 to 699 of the family's 1533-position model. Lineage: Bacteria; Pseudomonadati; Pseudomonadota; Gammaproteobacteria; Lysobacterales; Lysobacteraceae. The record is from RNAcentral.